CCUACGGGCGGCAGCAGUGGGGAAUAUUGCACAAUGGGCGCAAGCCUGAUGCAGCGACGCCGCGUGCGGGAUGACGGCCUUCGGGUUGUAAACCGCUUUUGAUCGGGAGCAAGCCUUCGGGUGAGUGUACCUUUCGAAUAAGCACCGGCUAACUCCGUGCCAGCAGCCGCGGUAAUACGUAGGGUGCAAGCGUUAUCCGGAAUUAUUGGGCGUAAAGGGCUCGUAGGCGGUUCGUCGCGUCCGGUGUGAAAGUCCAUCGCUUAACGGUGGAUCUGCGCCGGGUACGGGCGGGCUGGAGUGCGGUAGGGGAGACUGGAAUUCCCGGUGUAACGGUGGAAUGUGUAGAUAUCGGGAAGAACACCAAUGGCGAAGGCAGGUCUCUGGGCCGUUACUGACGCUGAGGAGCGAAAGCGUGGGGAGCGAACAGGAUUAGAUACCCCUGUAGUC
Molecule: ribosomal RNA, 447 nt
Filed under: Chryseobacterium phosphatilyticum
Lineage: Bacteria; Pseudomonadati; Bacteroidota; Flavobacteriia; Flavobacteriales; Weeksellaceae
Description: bacterial SSU rRNA
Rfam family: Bacterial small subunit ribosomal RNA
Source: RNAcentral